UACAGAGGUGGCGAGCGUUAUUCGGAAUUAUUGGGCGUAAAGCGCGCGCAGGCGGUCCUUUAAGUCUGAUGUGAAAGCCCACGGCUCAACCGUGGAGGGUCAUUGGAAACUGGGGGACUUGAGUGCAGAAGAGGAGAGUGGAAUUCCACGUGUAGCGGUGAAAUGCGUAGAGAUGUGGAGGAACACCAGUGGCGAAGGCGACUCUCUGGUCUGUAACUGACGCUGAGGCGCGAAAGCGUGGGGAGCAAACAGG
RNAcentral lists this ribosomal RNA (253 nucleotides) under uncultured bacterium. RNAcentral's name for it is "partial 16S ribosomal RNA". It matches the Rfam family "Bacterial small subunit ribosomal RNA", at positions 524 to 776 of the family's 1533-position model. The record is from RNAcentral.